AUUCAGGCAUUUUGAAUGAAAAUUGAGUUUGACUGAAGAAAAUCAUGUCCUUCCAAAUGAAAAUGAGCAGAUGUACAAAAAGAGCCUUAAAAUUAAUCUUGGAUUUACCCUUCCUUGUAAGGCAUGUGAUAAUGUGAAUGCAUCAUUUCACCGGUGUAUUGAAACUGACAAGGGCGGAGGGGAAGCUGCUGCAGAUUUAGUUUUUAAAAAAAUUACAUAAUUUGGGGGUUUCCGGAGAACAACUGUAUUGAGACGAAAUUGCCUUUCUGCUUAGAAGUCUGGCAAGAAGACACUCUUUUAAAAAUCAUUUUACCUUUGACUUGUUGUGAGAUCAUUUUUAAAACUGGGAGAAAUCUUUGAAUUGAACAUGUGUCGUAUCUCCCGGCCUGUUCUCUAACUGAAUGCUGUCUAUUAUUUUAAUCAUGUUAAUCUACUACUUAGUGGAAAACGCUGCUCUGUGGCCACCCCAGAACAAAAGUGCUUUCUGUUCUUCCUUCUUCAGUGAACCGGCCUUCACAUCACCCAGAGUCCAGCAAACAUUCAGGGGUU
This 549-nucleotide long non-coding RNA is filed under the name Bos taurus (domestic cattle). RNAcentral describes it as "long non-coding RNA NONBTAT014983". The record is from RNAcentral. Lineage: Eukaryota; Metazoa; Chordata; Mammalia; Artiodactyla; Bovidae.